GACGUAGGGCGCGAGCGUUGUCCCGAUUUAUUGGGCGUAAAGAGCUCGUAGGCGGCUUGUCGCGUCGUCUGUGAAAUCCCGCGGCUCAACUGCGGGCUGGCAGUCGAUACGGGCAGGCUGGAGUUCGGUAGGGGAGACUGGAAUUCCUGGUGUAGCGGUGAAAUGCGCAGAUAUCAGGAGGAACACCGGUGGCGAAGGCGGGUCUCUGGGCCGAUACUGACGCUGAGGAGCGAAAGCGUGGGGAGCGAACAGG
RNAcentral lists this ribosomal RNA (253 nucleotides) under uncultured bacterium. RNAcentral's name for it is "partial 16S ribosomal RNA". It matches the Rfam family "Bacterial small subunit ribosomal RNA", at positions 524 to 776 of the family's 1533-position model. The record is from RNAcentral.